Molecule: ribosomal RNA, 409 nt
Filed under: bacterium
Lineage: Bacteria
Description: partial 16S ribosomal RNA
Rfam family: Bacterial small subunit ribosomal RNA
Source: RNAcentral
UGGGGAAUAUUGCACAAUGGGCGAAAGCCUGAUGCAGCGACGCCGCGUGAGGGAUGACGGCCUUCGGGUUGUAAACCUCUUUCAGUAGGGACGAAGCGCAAGUGACGGUACCUGCAGAAGAAGCACCGGCUAACUACGUGCCAGCAGCCGCGGUAAUACGUAGGGUGCGAGCGUUGUCCGGAAUUACUGGGCGUAAAGAGCUCGUAGGCGGUUUGUCACGUCGUCUGUGAAAUCCUAGGGCUUAACCCUGGACGUGCAGGCGAUACGGGCUGACUUGAGUACUACAGGGGAGACUGGAAUUUCUGGUGUAGCGGUGGAAUGCACAGAUAGCAGGAAGAACACCGAUGGCGAAGGCAGGUCUCUGGGUAGUAACUGACGCUGAGGAGCGAAAGAAUGGGUAGCGAACAGG